GACGGCGGCUUUGCCUGCGUGUGUGCGUGAUCAACCGACGUGUCCGAGUUUGGUUGUUAUGUAGACUGCGAAGGCAGCUCUGAUGAUAGCUCGGGUCUGUUCGGCUGAUGGUUGCACGCGCGACACGAUCUUGUUGGGCCAAAAGUCUGUGGUGUAGUGGUAGACUAUCCAUCCGACCCGUCUUGAAACACGGACCAAGGAGAGUAACAUGUGCGCGAGUCAUUGGGUUCUACGAAACCCAAAGGCGCAGUGAAAGUGAAGGUCUGGCUUGUCCAGACUGAGGUGAGAUUCUGUCGUUUCUCAUGCGCGGUAUCACCAAGCUUCGAGCGACAGACGCAUCACCGGCCCGUCCCAUGACAAUUGUUUUCGAGCCUUAAUCAGUCGGGGCGGAGCAUGAGCGCACAUGUUGAGACCCGAAAGAUGGUGAACUAUGCUUGUGCAGGUUGAAGC
This 450-nucleotide ribosomal RNA is filed under the name Pseudolevinseniella sp. AN-2018. RNAcentral describes it as "eukaryotic LSU rRNA". It matches the Rfam family "Eukaryotic large subunit ribosomal RNA", at positions 489 to 852 of the family's 3401-position model. Lineage: Eukaryota; Metazoa; Platyhelminthes; Trematoda; Plagiorchiida; Microphallidae. The record is from RNAcentral.